This 255-nucleotide ribosomal RNA is filed under the name uncultured bacterium. RNAcentral's name for it is "partial 16S ribosomal RNA". It matches the Rfam family "Bacterial small subunit ribosomal RNA", at positions 524 to 776 of the family's 1533-position model. The record is from RNAcentral.
GACAGAGGGUGCAAACGUUGUUCGGAAUUACUGGGCGUAAAGCGCGUGUAGGCGGCCAUCUAAGUCGGGCGUGAAAUCCCACGGCUCAACCGUGGAAGUGCACUCGAAACUGGAUGGCUAGAGUCCUGGAGAGGAAGGUGGAAUGCUUGGUGUAGAGGUGAAAUUCGUAGAUAUCAAGCGGAACACCGGUGGCGAAGGCGGCCUUCUGGACAGUGACUGACGCUGAGACGGCGGAAAGCGUGGGGAGCAAACAGG